This 492-nucleotide ribosomal RNA is filed under the name uncultured bacterium. RNAcentral describes it as "partial 16S ribosomal RNA". It matches the Rfam family "Bacterial small subunit ribosomal RNA", at positions 29 to 507 of the family's 1533-position model. The record is from RNAcentral.
AGUGAACGCUGGCGGUAGGCCUAACACAUGCAAGUCGAAUGGCAGCACAGUAAGAGCUUGCUCUUACGGGUGGCGAGUGGCGGACGGGUGAGGAAUACAUCGGAAUCUACUUUUUCGUGGGGGAUAACGUAGGGAAACUUACGCUAAUACCGCAUACGACCUACGGGUGAAAGCAGGGGAUCUUCGGACCUUGCGCGAUUGAAUGAGCCGAUGUCGGAUUAGCUAGUUGGCGGGGUAAAGGCCCACCAAGGCGACGAUGCGUAGCUGGUCUGAGAGGAUGAUCAGCCACACUGGAACUGAGACACGGUCCAGACUCCUACGGGAGGCAGCAGUGGGGAAUAUUGGACAAUGGGCGCAAGCCUGAUCCAGCCAUACCGCGUGGGUGAAGAAGGCCUUCGGGUUGUAAAGCCCUUUUGUUGGGAAAGAAAAGCAGCAGGUUAAUACCCCGCUGUUCUGACGGUACCCAAAGAAUAAGCACCGGCUAACUUCGUG